UAGAGCUUAAAAACUCCUAAAACCAUUGUGAACUCAUCCUUUAUCGUUGCUUCGGCAGGCGGCCCCUCACCGGGCCCUAGCGUUCCCUCACCCGGAAAGCGCCCGCCGAAGGCACAAAACUCUUCUGUAUUUUAUGGAACUUCUGAUUAAACAAGCAAAUAAAUUA
This 166-nucleotide unclassified non-coding RNA is filed under the name uncultured Sordariomycetes. RNAcentral describes it as "sequence contains ITS1". Lineage: Eukaryota; Fungi; Ascomycota; Sordariomycetes. The record is from RNAcentral.